RNAcentral lists this ribosomal RNA (612 nucleotides) under Cicindela (Rivacindela) sp. JP-203. RNAcentral's name for it is "partial 16S ribosomal RNA". It matches the Rfam family "Bacterial large subunit ribosomal RNA", at positions 1844 to 2739 of the family's 2925-position model. The record is from RNAcentral. Lineage: Eukaryota; Metazoa; Arthropoda; Insecta; Coleoptera; Carabidae.
UUUAAGGUCUAACCUGCCCAAUGAGGAUUUAAAUGGCCGCAGUAUUUUGACUGUGCAAAGGUAGCAUAAUUAUUAGUUUUUUAAUUGAAAGCUUGUAUGAAGGGUUGGACGAGAUAAAAUCUGUCUUUAUUUAAAUCAAAGUAUAAUUUAACUUUUAAGUCAAAAGGCUUAAAUGUUUAUAAAAGACGAGAAGACCCUAUAGAUCUUUAUUUAAUUAAGAUUUUAAUAAUUUAGGAUUAUUUUAAUUUGGAGUUUUAAUUAAAUUUUAUUGGGGUAAUAUAAAGAUUAAAUAAAUUCUUUUUAUUUAUAACAUUAAUUUAUGAAUAUAUGAUCCAUUAAUAUUGAUUAUAAGAUUAAGUUACCUUAGGGAUAACAGCGUAAUUUUUUUGGAGAGCUCAUAUCGAUAAGAAAGUUUGCGACCUCGAUGUUGGAUUAAAAAUUAGCUUGGGUGCAGAAGCUCAAGAUUUUGGUCUGUUCGACCAUUAAAUUUUUACAUGAUCUGAGUUCAGACCGGCGUAAGCCAGGUCGGUUUCUAUCUUUAUUUAGAUAAAAUAUUUUAGUACGAAAGGACCAAGUAUUUAAUAUAAUUAUAUUUAUUUUUUGAAGAAUAUU